Cyprinus carpio (common carp) is the source of this 626-nucleotide long non-coding RNA. RefSeq lists it as uncharacterized. Lineage: Eukaryota; Metazoa; Chordata; Actinopteri; Cypriniformes; Cyprinidae. The record is from RefSeq and is a predicted model, not a curated record. The transcript has 3 exons.
GUGAGUGAAAAGCAUUUGAGUCGCACGCGGACCACAAAUCUGAUAGAAGCGGUUCCAGUGGAAAACCUAAACUUCAGAUGGCACGCAACUUAUACAGCAUCUCCGCCUCUGCUGCACAUCCUCUCAUAAAUAUAGCACUCAAGAACGUCAGCCCUGACCUCAAGUUGAAGAAAGAGAGAGUUGGAUCUGCACUGUGGUUGAGCUGUCUGUGAAGGUGGGGACUUGGAGAUGACGUAGGUGCAAAAAUAUUCAAGAUGUGGUGUAAGGUGAAGCAGAGGACAUAUAUGUGAGAAACACAAGAAAACAGCAUGGGGGCUUAAACGGCUAGAGGAAGACAAAGAUACCCACUAUGCUGCUGAAUCGUUGAGCUGGUACUCUCUGGAUCGACUGAAACAGACAUGCACUCCUUGGUCCUUCCACAAACGCUUUAUCACUCCAGCCAGCUCUGCUGUCAUGAAACCCUCCUCAGCGCUGCCCGCCAACACAAACAACUGCCUCGCAUCAUCCUGAGACACAGAGAGUACAGCAGAUUUCAAUUCUUGCACACAUUCAGUUAUCAUUGUCCUGUUUUAUUGCAUUGUCAUAUCAGGACAGUUGUAGCACCCUGACAUUGUAUACUUUAUAAU